AAAUUGAAGAGUUUGAUCAUGGCUCAGAUUGAACGCUGGCGGCAGGCCUAACACAUGCAAGUCGAACGGUAACAGGAAGMAGCUUGCUKCUUYGCUGAYGAGUGGCGGACGGGUGAGUAAUGUCUGGGAAACUGCCUGAUGGAGGGGGAUAACUACUGGAAACGGUAGCUAAUACCGCAUAACGUCGCAAGACCAAAGAGGGGGACCUUCGGGCCUCUUGCCAUCGGAUGUGCCCAGAUGGGAUUAGCUAGUAGGUGGGGUAACGGCUCACCUAGGCGACGAUCCCUAGCUGGUCUGAGAGGAUGACCAGCCACACUGGAACUGAGACACGGUCCAGACUCCUACGGGAGGCAGCAGUGGGGAAUAUUGCACAAUGGGCGCAAGCCUGAUGCAGCCAUGCCGCGUGUAUGAAGAAGGCCUUCGGGUUGUAAAGUACUUUCAGCGGGGAGGAAGGGAGUAAAGUUAAUACCUUUACUCAUUGACGUUACCCGCAGAAGAAGCACCGGC
Molecule: ribosomal RNA, 507 nt
Filed under: Escherichia coli
Lineage: Bacteria; Pseudomonadati; Pseudomonadota; Gammaproteobacteria; Enterobacterales; Enterobacteriaceae
Description: bacterial SSU rRNA
Rfam family: Bacterial small subunit ribosomal RNA
Source: RNAcentral